This is a long non-coding RNA of Bombina bombina (fire-bellied toad), 217 nucleotides long. RefSeq lists it as uncharacterized. The transcript is spliced from 2 exons. Lineage: Eukaryota; Metazoa; Chordata; Amphibia; Anura; Bombinatoridae. The record is from RefSeq and is a predicted model, not a curated record.
GCAGAAGAGCGGUUCAGGAGAAAGGCAAAGAGUUUGUGUAUGUACUGCGCAGAUCCAUCCCAUACUGUCUCAGACUGUCCCAUCCUCUCAAGGAAUAAGAAACUGGGAUCACAAAAGGAUACACACUGAAGCCAUAAUUGACUCAGGAGCUUUCGGGAACUUCAUUGAUUCUGAAAUUGUAUCCACCAAUAAAAUUCCACUUGUGUUGAAAACAAAA